Molecule: ribosomal RNA, 253 nt
Filed under: uncultured bacterium
Lineage: Bacteria
Description: partial 16S ribosomal RNA
Rfam family: Bacterial small subunit ribosomal RNA
Source: RNAcentral
UACGUAGGGUGCGAGCGUUAAUCGGAAUUACUGGGCGUAAAGCGUGCGCAGGCGGUCUGUUAAGUCAGAUGUGAAAUCCCCGGGCUUAACCUGGGAACUGCAUUUGAGACUGGCAGGCUAGAGUAUGGCAGAGGGGGGUGGAAUUCCACGUGUAGCAGUGAAAUGCGUAGAGAUGUGGAGGAAUACCGAUGGCGAAGGCAGCCCCCUGGGCCAAUACUGACGCUCAUGCACGAAAGCGUGGGGAGCAAACAGG